Molecule: ribosomal RNA, 483 nt
Filed under: uncultured bacterium
Lineage: Bacteria
Description: partial 16S ribosomal RNA
Rfam family: Bacterial small subunit ribosomal RNA
Source: RNAcentral
AUUGAACGCUGGCGGCAGGCCUAACACAUGCAAGUCGAGCGGAUGAAGGGAGCUUGCUCCUGGAUUCAGCGGCGGACGGGUGAGUAAUGCCUAGGAAUCUGCCUGGUAGUGGGGGAUAACGUCCGGAAACGGGCGCUAAUACCGCAUACGUCCUGAGGGAGAAAGUGGGGGAUCUUCGGACCUCACGCUAUCAGAUGAGCCUAGGUCGGAUUAGCUAGUUGGUGGGGUAAAGGCCUACCAAGGCGACGAUCCGUAACUGGUCUGAGAGGAUGAUCAGUCACACUGGAACUGAGACACGGUCCAGACUCCUACGGGAGGCAGCAGUGGGGAAUAUUGGACGAUGGGCGAAAGCCUGAUCCAGCCAUGCCGCGUGUGUGAAGAAGGUCUUCGGAUUGUAUAGCACUUUAAGUUGGGAGGAAGGGCAGUAAGUUAAUACCUUGCUGUUUUGACGUUACCAACAGAAUAAGCACCGGCUAACUUCGU